CCUACGGGAGGCAGCAGUGAGGAAUAUUGGUCAAUGGCCGCAGGGCUGAACCAGCCAAGUCGCGUGAGGGAUGACGGUCCUAUGGAUUGUAAACCUCUUUUGUCAGGGAGCAAAGGGCGCCCCGUUUGGCGCUUUGCGAGUACCUGAAGAAAAAGCAUCGGCUAACUCCGUGCCAGCAGCCGCGGUAAUACGGAGGAUGCGAGCGUUAUCCGGAUUUAUUGGGUUUAAAGGGUGCGCAGGCGGAAUGUCAAGUCAGCGGUAAAAUUGCGGGGCUCAACCCCGUCUUGCCUUUGAAACUGGUGUUCUUGAGUGAGCGAGAAGUAUGCGGAAGGCGUGGUGUAGCGGUGAAAUGCAUAGAUAUCACGCAGAACUCCGAUUGCGAAGGCAGCAUACCGGCGCUCAACUGACGCUCAUGCACGAAAGCGUGGGUAUCGAACAGGAUUAGAUACCCUUGUAGUC
This 459-nucleotide ribosomal RNA is filed under the name uncultured bacterium. RNAcentral's name for it is "partial 16S ribosomal RNA". It matches the Rfam family "Bacterial small subunit ribosomal RNA", at positions 338 to 795 of the family's 1533-position model. The record is from RNAcentral.